This 1073-nucleotide long non-coding RNA is filed under the name Coturnix japonica (Japanese quail). RNAcentral's name for it is "lncRNA (ENSCJPG00005015969.1)". Lineage: Eukaryota; Metazoa; Chordata; Aves; Galliformes; Phasianidae. The record is from RNAcentral.
GCUGACUAGCAGAUGUGGAUAGAUGAUGCAAUGGGGUUGCUAGAAGGGCUGAGUUGAGGGAACGAAAUUGCUCAGAUGCCUGAGGCGACAGACUGAGUUAACUUGAACAUUUUGAUUAUUCAAAUGAGAAUUAUCCAAAUGACCCAGAUUUCUUCCUUACUGCAUCAUGACAAAUUGCUAGACAAUGACACCUCUACUGUCUGCAUUUCUGUGGGCAGACACAUUUGGAUAGCCAUACAGGGGAUCUGGAUCACCCUUCCUAAUGUUUUCUUCAGUGUCAAGUCUAAACUACAACACAUUAAUAGGCUCCUUCAGCUAGGUGCAAGGUUGAAGCCUUGAUGAACUGUGAUCACAAAAAUCUGCACAUUGCCCCUUCCCCGGGGUGAGAAGCAGCUCUCUAUAUUCCGGCCCAGCACCAAUCAAAUUCUAGCCUGAAUCCUUGGAAUUGCCUGUAGGUUUAGCCAUGCAUAAAUAUAUUUUUCAUUUCCUUGGUUUAAAAUGGUUAUUGGUAUAAAAUGGCUGUGCAGUUCUGACCUGAGAUAGCUGCACACCACUGGGAAGGAAAGUGAUAUCUGCUGAGGUCCCUGGGCUUGUAAAUAGCUGUUGUUAUUAGGAAUUGUACAGAUCUUUCAUUCCCUCCUGCAGACAUCCAGUUUCAGCCUAACCCAAGUGUUACAAAAAUCCUACAGAUACAGGCAUUAUAGAAAAAGUAAAUUCAGAGCAGAUGUUCAGAAGUACCUCCAAUCAAGAUUCACAGAAUGUUGAUUAAAGCAGGAUAUGAUAAACACAGAAAAAGAAGUACAAAAGCACAGAUGAAGAUGAGAUGUGGAAAGUAACCUGCUGCAAGCUAAGGACGUAAGGCAUAGCUGGUUCCUUUUCUAAGCUCUCAUCCUUGCAAUGCGUACAGGAGGUGAGAAGUUUUGGCACUCCUCUAUACUUCAUAAUUUGAACUAAUGUAUUUGUUAUUUGUUUAAAUGAUGAAAUGUUAGCAACAGUGAUUCUCCACAGGUGUAAGGAAAAUACUUCUGUUCCUUCUUAUAGGUCAGUCUUCAUCUGAAAUCAUUGAGUACAGG